AGUGAACGCUGGCGGUAGGCCUAACACAUGCAAGUCGAACGGCAGCACAGUAAGAGCUUGCUCUUACGGGUGGCGAGUGGCGGACGGGUGAGGAAUACAUCGGAAUCUACUUUUUCGGGGGGGAUAACGUAGGGAAACUUACGCUAAUACCGCAUACGACCUACGGGUGAAAGCAGGCGAUCUUCGGACCUUGCGCGAUUGAAUGAGCCGAUGUCGGAUUAGCUAGUUGGCGGGGUAGAGGCCCACCAAGGCGACGAUCCGUAGCUGGUAUGAGAGGAAGAAUCGCCACACUGUCACUGAGGCACAGUCCAGACUCCUACGGUGGGAAGCAGUGGGGAAUAUUAGGCGAGGGGGGCGAGCCUGAUCCAGCCAUACCGCGUGGGUGAUGAAGGCCUUCGGGUUGUAGAGCGCUGUUGUUCGGAAAGAAGAGCAGCAGGCUAAUCCGCCGCUGUUCUGACGGUACCCAAAGAAUAAGCACCGGCUAACUUCGUG
Molecule: ribosomal RNA, 492 nt
Filed under: uncultured bacterium
Lineage: Bacteria
Description: partial 16S ribosomal RNA
Rfam family: Bacterial small subunit ribosomal RNA
Source: RNAcentral